This is a non-coding RNA of Cricetulus griseus (Chinese hamster), 405 nucleotides long. The record is from the annotation of a RefSeq genome assembly. Lineage: Eukaryota; Metazoa; Chordata; Mammalia; Rodentia; Cricetidae.
AUGGGUGCAUGGCUCAUCUGCUGUGUGGCACUUUGCCUCCUUCAGGCAGACUUCGUUGAUGCUGCGGUCACUCAGACGCCAAGCCAUCUGAUCAAAACAGAAGGCCAGAGAGCAACGAUGAAGUGUAACCCUGAAAAGGGGCAGACUGUUGUUUACUGGUACCAACAGAGGCAGAACAAAGAGUUAAAGUUCCUGAUUUACUUUCAGGGUCAACAGCCUAUUGAUCAGAUAGACAUGGUCAAGAAGCGGUUCUCAGCUGAGUGUCCCUCAAAUUCACCGUGCAGCCUGGAAAUCAACAUUUCUGAAGUUGGAGAUUCUGCCCUGUAUUUCUGUGCCAGCAGUCAGUCCACAGCAUUGAAAUGUCCAUUUCCCUCAGUUCACAAACCCACCAUGGAGCCAGCUUAA